UUGGGAAUAGAUCACUCUUAACUGCAGGCUUGGGUUCUCUCUUAACUGAUGUAUUUCACCAGAAAAUAUGUAAAGUUCAACUUCAAAUUGACAAAAUUUUAAAACUAUGUGAUUAGCAGCUGGGCGCAGUGGCUCACACCUGUAAUCCCCGCACUUUGGGAGGCCCAGGUGGGCAGAUCACCUGAGGUCAGGAGUUCCAGACCAGCCUGGCCAACAUGGUGAAACCCUGUCUCUACUAAAAAUACAAAAAUUAGCUGGACAUGGUGGCGGGCACCUGUAGUCCUAGCACUUUGGGAGGCCGAGAGGGGUGGAUCACCUGAGGUCAGGAGUUCGAGACCAUCCUGGCCAACAUGGUGAAACCCCAUCUCUGCUAAAAAUACAAAAAUUAGCUGGGCGUAGUGGCACGCGCCUGCAAUCCCAGCUACUCGGGAGGCUGAGGCAGGAGAAUAGCUUGAACCUGGGAGGAGGAGGUUGCAGUGAUCCGAUAUCGCGCCACUGCACUCCAGCCUAGUGACAGAGCGAGACUCCAUCUCAAAAAAAAAAAAAAAAAGUAACCGGCCUGGUGGCGGGUGCCUGUAAUCCCAGCUACUCGGGGAGCUGAGACAGGAGUAUCAGAGAAUCGCUUGAACCCAGGAGGCAGAGGUUGCGGCGAGCCAAGAUCACGCCACUGCACUCCAGCCUGGUGACAGAAAAAAUAAAAAUACAAAAAUAAAAACUAUGUGAUUAGCAUUUUCUUCCGCAGGAGACACAAAAUAGAAGCAUUCCUGUUUAGAAAUCUUAGCCAUAACUAUUCUUUGUAAACGCUUAACCAGACCAUUUCACUCAGGUGUACCUACAACAUGUUAGCUUCAUUUGCAAAUUCCCUGAAGGAAUUAAAGACCACAAAAAUAGAAUCCUUUAACAGAUGCAGCUCUUUAUUUUAAAAAUCAGUAUAAUCAUAGUCCACCUGAUUCGAAAUGCAUUCUGUGGAAAUUCAAUGUUACUUAAGUAAACAGCUAGUGGAACAGUAAUAAUUAUAGCUACAGGCAUUUAUGGAGCACCUAUCCCGUGCCAGGCACUGUCAGAUGUCCUUUAAAUACCUGAUCUCAAUUAACCCUCACCACAACCAAGAAUGAUUAAUUCUCCAAGGUCACAGUGCUGAUAAGAGGAAUUUAAGCCCAGAUUCCUUUUACUACAAAGCUUGAAGCUCUUUCCCCUGUUUGCCACAACAGCUUUCAUCCUAGGCAAAGUGGCCAGGACCCGAGCAUGGUUUCCACCUGCUGUUGUAGCCGUGCUCUCCCACCAGAUGACGCAAUCACCAGGUUAGACUUGAUCUCGAGGGAACCAGAGGAGGUUGUAAUUCACUACACCCACAAACAGAUUUAACUGAGCAAAUUACUCAACAGCCAGAGUUGAGGUAACUACAAAGCUGUGAUGAAGGGCUCCCAUUGUAAAAAUUCAAAUAAUUUUUUAAAACACAAGAAUACUUAUUAAAUGCCUAUUCUGUUUCCAGCAUUCUUUUAGGAACUGAAGAAGACAUUGGAUGGACUAUAUAAACAUUCAGCACAGAAGGAAAAUAUAAAUAACAUUUAUUCACCAUUGUUCUAGAAACAAAGCUACCUGUGUGUUCAGAACACAACACAGCAGUCCUGAAAUAGUAAUUGAAUCAGUAUUAUGAAAAUAAAUUACUCCAAAUACUUUUUCUAGUUCUCUCAGGCACAUGCAUUUCUCUAAUAUUGGAACUGCUGGUCAUUAAAGUAUGCAUGUUUUGGACUUUCUUGAUAAUACUGUUUUCCAAGGUAGUCAUAUGAAUUUAUAUCUGUACCAGCCAUCUAUGAAAGUCCCUACUGUUCAACAUCCAACUUUAAUUUAGGUAUACAGUGUUCUGGCACUGUGGCUGAAAUGUGCAUUUCCUUCAUUAACAUGGUUGAACACCUUUUCAUGUUUAUUAGACAUUUGGAUUUCUCCUUUUCUGAAGUGGCUGUUCAAGACUUUUGCCCAUUAUUCUAUUAGUGCCUGUAGCAUCUUGUUUAAGAAAUGUUUCUCUAUACUAAGGUCAUGAGUAUCUUCCUAUAUUAAUUCUAAAAGUGUUAUUGUUUUGCCUGCCUUUCUGCCAUGCCUCCAGGUCAUAAAUCAAGUGUCUGGCUAUGCAUAAUACUGUUUCUGGACUCCAUAUGGUGUUCUAUUGGUCCAUCAUUAUUAGCCUACCCAGUGCCAAUAUUACACUAUCUUUUUUUUUGAGAUGGAAUCUCGUUGUGUCGCCCAGGCUGGAGUGCAGUGGUGCGAUCUCGGAUCACUGCAAGCUCUGCCUCCUGGGUUCACACCAUUCUCCUGCCUCAGCCUCCCGAGUAGCUGGAACUACAGGCACCCGCCACCACACCUGGCUAACUUUUUGUAUUUUUAGUAGAGACGGGGUUUCACCAUGUUAGCCAGGAUGGUCUUGAUCUCCUGACCUCGUGAUCCACCCGCCUCGGCCUCCCAAAGUGCUGGGAUUACAGGCGUGAGCCACCGCGCCUGGCCCAACACUAUCUUAAUUAUUAUAACUCUUCUUGAUCUCUAGCAGAGGUUUUCCUAACUUUUCUUUUUCAAAGUGUUUUGCCUUUUCUUGGGCCUUGGCAAAUGUUUUAGAAUCAGCUUGUCUAAUUUUUUUAAAUGUGGGAUUACAUUAGAUCUAUAAAUCAGUUUCCAGAAAAUUGACACAUUUACAAUAUUGAAUCUUCCACUCCUUGAGCCACUGUGCUCUUCAUUUAUUUAGGUUUUAUUUAAAGCCACUCAAUAAAGUUUUAGAAUUUUCUAUAUCUGUUAUAGUUUAUAACCAUUUAAAACCAUGAAUCUGAAAAAAAUAUAUUUUGUAAAUGAUGUAUAAGUUUUUGGUGAGAUACCUAGAGCUUGGGAUAAGUAUAUAUAAGUAUGAAAAUAAACUGGGGCUGGGUGCAGUGGCUCACACCUGUAAUCCCAGCACUUUGGGAGGCCGAGGCGGGUGAAUCACUUCAGCCCAGGAGUUCGAGACCAGCC
This 2994-nucleotide long non-coding RNA is filed under the name Homo sapiens (human). Its description in RNAcentral is "HSALNT0365782". Lineage: Eukaryota; Metazoa; Chordata; Mammalia; Primates; Hominidae. The record is from RNAcentral.